RNAcentral lists this unclassified non-coding RNA (253 nucleotides) under Planchonella tahitensis. RNAcentral describes it as "partial contains external transcribed spacer (ETS) and 18S rRNA gene". Lineage: Eukaryota; Viridiplantae; Streptophyta; Magnoliopsida; Ericales; Sapotaceae. The record is from RNAcentral.
GGAUGAGUCCUAAGUUUUGCCUCUCNCCGAUUCGUGGUGUUAGGUUGACGNGGAAGUUCUGCCCAUUCUCCUUGACUGCUCCGCCCUUNNNCGUUGCAAUCGUGGCCCAUGGGUUGCUACUAGUUCCGUCGGAUGCAGAACCUUUGAGGGGUGCACANNNUGUUGCUGCUGUUUACCCUCAAGGCAUUCAUCUAUCGAUGCAUACGACAGUUGUGCCCCGUUUUGNNCCCCUCUCUAAAUUGUUUAGAUGGGU